GAUUCUGGCUCAGAACGAACGCUGGCGGCAGGCCUAACACAUGCAAGUCGAGCGCGCCCUUCGGGGUGAGCGGCGGACGGGUUAGUAACGCGUGGGAACGACCCUUUGGUAGGGAAUAGCCACUGGAAACGGUGAGUAAUACCCUAUGAGCCCUUCGGGGGAAAGAUUUUAUCGCCAAAAGGAUCGGCCCGCGUUAGAUUAGGUAGUUGGUGGGGUAAUGGCCUACCAAGCCUACGAUCUAUAGCUGGUUUUUAGAGGAUGGAUCAGCAACACUGGGACUGAGACACGGCCCAGACUCCUACGGGAGGCAGCAGUGGGGAAUCUUGGACAAGUGGGGGCAACCCUGAACUCCAGCCAUGCCGCGUGAGUGAAGAAGGCCUUAGGGUCGUAAAGCUCUUUCGCCUGUGAAGAUAAUGACGGUAGCAGGUAAAGAAACCCCGGCUAACUCCGUGCCAGCCGCUGC
Molecule: ribosomal RNA, 463 nt
Filed under: uncultured bacterium
Lineage: Bacteria
Description: bacterial SSU rRNA
Rfam family: Bacterial small subunit ribosomal RNA
Source: RNAcentral